GACGAACGCUGGCGGCGUGCUUAACACAUGCAAGUCGAACGGAAAGGCCCUGCUUUUGUGGGGUGCUCGAGUGGCGAACGGGUGAGUAACACGUGAGUAACCUGCCCUUGACUUUGGGAUAACUUCAGGAAACUGGGGCUAAUACCGGAUAGGAGCUCCUGCUGCAUGGUGGGGGUUGGAAAGUUUCGGCGGGUGGGGAUGGACUAGCGGCUUAUUAGCUUGUUGGUGGGGUAGUGGCUUACCAAGGCUUUGACGGGUAGCCGGCCUGAUAGGGUGACCGGCCACAUUGGGACUGAGCUACGGCCCAGAGUCCUACGGGGUGCAGCAGUGGGGAAUAUUGCACAAUGGGCGGAAGCAUGAUGCAACAACGCCGCGCGCGGGAUGACGGCCUUCGGGUUGUAAACCGCUUUCGCCUGUGACGAAGCGUGAGUGACGGUAAUGGGUAAAGAAGCACCGGCUAACUCCGUG
Molecule: ribosomal RNA, 468 nt
Filed under: uncultured bacterium
Lineage: Bacteria
Description: partial 16S ribosomal RNA
Rfam family: Bacterial small subunit ribosomal RNA
Source: RNAcentral